Molecule: ribosomal RNA, 494 nt
Filed under: uncultured bacterium
Lineage: Bacteria
Description: bacterial SSU rRNA
Rfam family: Bacterial small subunit ribosomal RNA
Source: RNAcentral
UGAACGCUAGCGACAGGCCUAACACAUGCAAGUCGAGGGGCAGCACAAGGAGUAAUCUGAGGUGGCGACCGGCGCACGGGUGAGUAACACGUAUGCAACCUGGCUGUAAGAGGGGAAUAACCCGGAGAAAUCCGGACUAAUACCGCAUAAUACUUAGAGUCCGCAUGGAUUUUAAGUUAAACAUUUAUGGCUUACAGAUGGGCAUGCGUAUGAUUAGCUGGUUGGAGAGGUAACGGCUCCCCAAGGCAACGAUCAUUAGGGGUUCUGAGAGGAAGGUCCCCCACACUGGUACUGAGACACGGACCAGACUCCUACGGGAGGCAGCAGUGAGGAAUAUUGGUCAAUGGACGCAAGUCUGAACCAGCCCAAGUCGCGUGAAGGAAGAAUGUCCUAUGGAUUGUAAACUUCUUUUGAAGGGGAAUAAAGUACGGUACGUGUACCGUUUUGUAUGUACCCUUCGAAUAAGGAUCGGCUAACUCCGUGCCAGCCGCAGC